This 894-nucleotide long non-coding RNA is filed under the name Brachypodium distachyon (stiff brome). RNAcentral's name for it is "long non-coding RNA (BDIS_LNC001409)". Lineage: Eukaryota; Viridiplantae; Streptophyta; Magnoliopsida; Poales; Poaceae. The record is from RNAcentral.
GCCUGAGGUAUAUUUUGGCACCAAAUAAAUUAUGUCGGACUGAGCUGAAAAGUGUUGUAAAGAUUGAAAAUGACACAGGCAUAGCCGCACGGCAACAAAAAAUGACUACUACACAGUGGCAGCGUGCAGUAGCAAAAUCAGUUCCGGACUUCCAGUAGAAUAGGCAGUAGCCAUUCACAACCACACCACACGUCCACAGACCACACAAUCCACACAUGCAGCAGCCUGGAGGUCGGGGAGGGCCGGACGGGCGGCCUUGGAGGCUGGGAGGGGAUACCGGCAGGAGUUGCUGGAGCCUGGAGCCCUGGAGGGAGGUCGGGGACGGCCGGACGAGCGGCGAUCGGCGCUCGGCGGAGGGGGGAUAGAUGCAGGCCCGCCCUCGACGGGGGCGGUGGCCGGAGGCGGAGGCGACUGGGUCGGACUCGGGAGACUCGGGAGGGAUCGAGAAUCGGCGAACUUGGGAGGGAUAAAGUCGAACUGAGCCGCCAAUCGUGUUCCGGACGGUAGACUAGUGAUGGACUUCUGCGCAGUACGCGAAGAUGGACCACGAGGGUCGGGGCGCUAAGCAGUUGGGCCUGUCCUUGGCGAGCGCGACGGCCUGUUCGUGACGAGGUCGAUAACGGGCCUAACGAGCGUUCGGCAAACUUCCCGUUAAGAUCGUUAGCACUCACAAUUUCAGAUUGAUCUUCGGUUCUCUUCUUUAAUUAACGAAAGCGAGCGCUCGUUAAGAUUGUUAUGAACAAGUAAUGUGGGCGGAGAAAGUAACUGGAACCGUUAUGAACACCCCUAACCGUUACAAGAGUUGCAGCAAAUGUAGUUGGUACAGUAAAGGUGAGUAGUAAUAUUUAGUUACCGAGUAAGAGAUAAAAAUGAUGAGAACAUUGAGCAAAUCCC